CGCGUAGGUGGUAGUGUAAGUCUGGGGGUGGAAUCCCAGGGCUUAACCCUGGAACUGCCUUGGAAACUGCAUUACUUGAGUCAGUGAGGGGAGGGUAGAAUUCCUGGUGUAGCGGUGAAAUGCGUAGAUAUCAGGAGGAAGGCCUGUGGCGAAGGCGGCCCUCUGGCGCUGAACUGACACUGAGGCGCGAAAGCGUGGGGAGCAAACAGGAUUAGAUACCCUGGUAGUCCACGCCCUAAACGGUGGGCACUAGGUGUAGGGCUCGUAAGGGUUCUGUGCCGAAGGGAAACCAUUAAGUGCCCCGCCUGGGGAGUACGGCCGCAAGGUUGAA
RNAcentral lists this ribosomal RNA (331 nucleotides) under uncultured bacterium. Its description in RNAcentral is "bacterial SSU rRNA". It matches the Rfam family "Bacterial small subunit ribosomal RNA", at positions 568 to 898 of the family's 1533-position model. The record is from RNAcentral.